This is a non-coding RNA of Heterocephalus glaber (naked mole-rat), 7187 nucleotides long. The record is from RefSeq and is a predicted model, not a curated record. Lineage: Eukaryota; Metazoa; Chordata; Mammalia; Rodentia; Bathyergidae.
AAGUGUCUGUUUCUGUGAGAUGUUUCUGCCUCUGGGACAGGGACAGCAUGGGUUGUGGCUCAGCAUGAGCUCUUUGUGACGGUGCGUGCUGCGAGGCAGGGGCAGUGAUCCUGUGGUCCCAGGGGUCAGAAGCAAACACUCAGAGCGCUCUUUGCCACCGCGAUGAGGAAUGGUGGUCGUCCUGCCCUUGGCAGCAGGGCAGCCUGGAGUCUGCGGCCCCUCCAGCUGAGUCUUAUCACAGAGCCACUGGCGUGUCACCGCGUGUACAGAGUGCUGGAGGCCUCCGUGUGGAGUACCUGGUGUGUGAACCACCUCUCCAGCUUACUGUCCUUCAUCUAGCCUGAACCCUGGCCAGGCUCACACUCUAGACAGGCUGUGUGAAUAGAGCAGGAGAGCCCGUCCUAGUGGCUGUGACAUCAGCAGGGCCAAGGGAUUCUGCGUCAAGCAGAGUUCUUCACUGGGACGUGCCGGUUUCUGCAAGGAGGACAGUCCUUUCGGGAUGCGUGUGGACCCCCCUCCCUUCCCUCAGCACCCCACUGUUCCGGGCUUGCCUGAAGCUGACCUUGCUCCAGUCUCCUUGCAGACUGGAGUUAGGGCAGCUGUGCCUGUCCCCUGUGGCCAGGCUGCGACUGUGAUGCAAGCUCCUUGACAGCAAGAAGCUCCCGAAGCUAUUCUGGUGGUCACUACAUCGGCUCCAGGACCCCAGGGGGGACAGCGCUCUCCUUGAUGAGAAGGGGUUUCCCGUAGAAGGGAGAGCUGUCGUGGUGAGAAAGUCUCUUGGAUUCUCCAGUGACGAAGCUGUGACCGCAGACCAGAGACAGGGAAAACUUGACAUUUGGAGAACAGCCGGGGCAGGAGCUAUCCCCUGAGCUCCACGUGUAAGAGAAAAGACUGGACCCGGAUUCCAGGGAUUUGGAGUUGGCGAUCACCUCGAAGUGGCAGUGCUGGGAGCUGGGGAAGCCUGAGAAAGUCAUGCUUUACAGUGGCCACCCGUACAAUUUGUCAGCCACCAUUCUGAGGUACACUGGACUCCGGUUAUGACGGUGAUGAAAUGUGCAUAACAGAAUGUGCAUCCUCCACCCACCCACCUUUGGCAGCUGUCACUCCUUUCUGUCGCGAGUUUGACUGUUCCCAGACCUCACGUAAGUGGACUCACACACUACUUCCCUUUCUGACUGGUUACUUAGCGUAAUAUCCUCAGUGCUUAUCCGGAUUGAGUCAUAAAGGCCUUUUUCAGGCCUCUUGGCCUGUGUGCCACAUUUUGCCUAUCCACGAGUGGGUACAUAGAUUGCGUCCAUCUCUCCACUGUGUGUUACAUGGCUAUGAACAUAGCCGUACGGAUAUUUCUUCAUGUCCCUAUUUUUAAUUCUUUGAGUUCUAUCUCCAGAAGCAGGAUAAUUUGACCAUAGAGCGAUUAGUUUUUGUAUGGCAGGAUCCACCAUAUUGUUUCCCAUAAUGGCGUUUCAUAUUCUCACCAAGAGUGCAUGAGAUUUCCAAUUUUUCCACCUUCUUGCUGAACUUGUUUUCGGGUUUUUGUUUGAUUUUUAUAUAAUAGACAUCUGUGACUGUUAAGCUUAACUGUCAACAUGGCUUGGGAGCCCCCUAGGGGAUUAGUAAAAGUGCACUUCUGUGUGUGUCAGGGUGGCGAACGGAGGCUUGAUGCCAAGUGCUGUAUGUGGUCCCCUGCUCUGCUCCCUGGCUUCCACGAAUGGCUCGGCCUUCUUCCGCCGUGCCUUCCUGCCAUGCUCUUUCUGCUUUGAAGCCAGCAGUCUGCAGUGAAUCCUCUGAAACUGAACCAAAAUAUUUAACUUCUCUCAGUUGCGCGUGUUGGGAAUUUGAUUCCAGCAGUGGGAAAGCUGACAAAUACACCAUCUUAAUGCGUGUGAAGUGGUUUUGUUACUGCAUUUUGGGGUGCUGGAGUCUCCUCCUCGAAGUGGUAGCAAGGUUUUACAUUUAUUUAUUUUCCUUUUUAAAAUAUGAGUUCUGGAGUUUUGUUUGUUUUGGUACUGGGGAUCGAAUUUGGGACCUUGUGCUUGUGAGGCAGGCGGCGAAACCACUGAGCUAAAUCCCCGGCCCAGGAUUUUUUUUUUUUUUUUUCAAUUUUGUUGUUUCUUUGCCAUGCUGGGGGUUGAACCCAGGACCUUGUGCAUGCUAGAGUACUCUAUCACUGAGCUACUUCCUCAGCAGUUUUGCAUUUAUUAAAGGUAUGAAAAGAAACAUGCUAUACAGAGCAAGCUGGGACCAAGAAAAAGCAGAAAAGGAAGUACCCUCUGCAGUUUAAGCAUGGACUUUUGUGAAGAACACAGUUGCAAAGAGCCCAGUGGAGACCUGCCCACACUGCAGGCUGCCGUCAGGUCAAGGCUGUCCUGUAAGUCCACGUGCAAAGCCUGAGAGUGUACCGCGAGGGUCCUGGGAGUUUGUAAGUAACAGGUCCAUAUUUCCCCAGCCAGCUUUGCCACACCCUAGUCUCCUACCUCAGUUUCUCGCUGUGGUUUUGAUUUGCAUUUCCCCAGUGAUUAGUGACGUUGAACGGCUUUGCUACGUUCACUAGCCAAUUGUGAGUCUUCUUUGGAGAAAUGUCUACUGUUCCACAGUUUUGGAUUGGCUUGGAUAUUAAUCCCUUACAGAUAAAAUGAACAAAUAACUUGCUUGUUAUUUGCCUUUUCAUUCUGUUUAUAGUCUCCAGAUAGAUAAGUUAAUUUUUAUGUAGUUCAGUUUACUUUUAUGUUGCUUGUUUUUGGUGUCAUAUCUAGGACAUCCUUACCAAAUCCAGUGUCACAAAGCAUUUUUUAAGUUUUAUGUCUUUGAUCCAGUGAGUUAAUUUUUGUACAUGGUAUGAGGUAAGUGUCCAACACUACUCUUCUGCACAUACAUAUCCAGCUUUCCCAACACCAUUUAUUGAUGCCUGUCUUGUUAAAAAAGAAGAAAAAGGCCAUUGACACCCUUGUUGACAUCAAGUGUGUAUAUGAGGGUUUAUUUCUGGUUAUAUCGUAUUUUCUUAUUUAUCUCAAGGUGUUUUUCUGUUUUCCUUUAUGAUUACUUAUUUGACCCAUUGGUUGGUUGUUCAUUUUCACGUUUGUAGCCUUUCUAGUUUUCCUUCAUUUUAUGCUUUCUUGCUGUCUAGUGUCCUUUCAUUUCAACCUGAAGGACUCCCUUUAAAACAUUUCUUGUAGAGCAGGUCUAGUGGUCAUGAAUUCCCUUGGGUUUUUUUAAAAUCAGAAAAUGUCUUAAUUUUUCCCUCACUUGAAGAACAAUUUUGCCAGAUGUAGAAUUCUCAGUUGACAGUGUUUCAAGACUUUAAAUAGCUUAUUCUACUGCCUUUGGUCACCAGGGUUUCUGCUGAGAAAUGUGUUCUUUAUACAUGCUGACUUCUUUUGCUGCUUUCAAGAAUUUUUUUGUCUUGUAGCAGUUUGAUUAUAUGUCUUGGUCUGGGCUUAUCUUACUUGGAGCUUGUCAAGGUUCUUAGAUUUGUAGAUCCAUGUCCUUCUUCAAAUUGGGUGCAUUAUUUUCUCUGUUCUUCUGAGACUUCUGUAUGCAGAUAUGGUCCACUUGAUGUUGUCCCAGAAGUCUGUUGGGGUUUACUUUUCUCAUUUUUUUUUUGCUCCUACUUGACAAUUUCAAGUGAACUGUCGUCAGGAUCACUUGUUGGCUCUUCCUUCAAAAUGACUGGUUGCAGCGAGUGUGGUGGCACACUCCUGUAUUCUCAGCACUUGGGAGGCUGAGGCAGAAAGGAUUGCCAUGAGUUCAAGCCCAGCCUGGACUACAUAGCAAGACCCUGUUUCAAAAAAUAAAUGUUUUGUUUUUUUUAAAUCACUGAUUCCAGGUCUGCAGUUGAACCCCUCUAGUGAAUUUUUUCAAUUGUUAUAUUUUUCAGCUUCAGAAUUUCUGUAUUCUUCAGAAUUUCUUAUAAUUUUCAUUUGAUACUGGCAUUUUGUUCAUAUAUCGUUUUUCUGAUUCCUUUUAGCUCUUUGAGCAUUUUUAAGACUUUGUUUUUAAACUGACCAACUGUAUGUAUUAUGUGCAACAUGAUGUUUCGAAAUCGAUAUACACUGGAAUGACUAUAGUUACUAAGUCUAGUAAGUGUCUGUGUCUUUCUUAAGGGAUGAUUUCUGUAGAUAUAUUUUGGUCCUUUGAGUGGACCUUGUUUUCAAGUCUUCUGAUCUUCUGUUGAAAAUAGGUUACUUGAGAAAAUAGCCACCUCUCCCAGUCUUUGCAGUUUAGCUACCUGCAGGACAAGAGCUCACCGUAGUCUGAAGGGUGCUUUCUGGGCCUGUGUGUUGUUUAGUUUUUGUUUUGUUGUUCUGUACGCACAGCAGCUUUUAAAGGUCUUAGUACCCUUUACUGUUCAACCCCGUGUCUCAGGUCACGCUCCUCCGCUGUCUUCUCCAGUCGGUCAUCCCUGACCGCAGGCUCCCUUGGCUUGGUGUGUCGCAGUUUUUCAAGCUGUGCUUGCUGCUUCCCUCAUUUCCCCAGCCUGAGCUCUCAGCUGUGCUGCUUUUCACCAUUGGGCAACACAGGAAGGGGCCACACAGCUCAGACAUCGAAAAUUCAGUCUGCUUUGCUCUUUCUGAUCACCGGAGGGAACUGGGACUGGGUCACUGCUUUUGUGCCAGGCUAGGGAGGGGUGGACAUGUAAAAUGCAACCAGAUGUCGCAUUGUCUUGAACAGAUCUUUUUCUUCUGUGAGCACUUGCUUGGUUACGGUAGAUCUUCAGCUGCCUUCCACAGUUCUGAGAAGAAGGUAUUUUGGCCAGUCUCUAGUUGUUCAUCUGUGUUUCCAUGGAGAAACAUGCAAGAGCCUGCAAUUUCCUAGUCCACCAUGUACAUGGUGAUGUCAUUCUUUAGACAUUUUAAAUUUUUUACUGACUUACACUUUGCAAAAAAGUAUAAAUUUUUGGGCUGGGGAUUUAGCUCAGUGGUUCUGCCGUCAGUCUCGCUAGCGCAAGGUCAAGUUUGAUCCCUGGUACCAAAAAAAAAAAAGUAUAAAUUUUAAAAUUGUAAACUAAACCUUAAAGUAAAUGUAUUUGUCUUAAACAUAGAACAAGUACAGUCGUUGGCUUAUAGAAAUGAACUCUGAGGUGUUUAGCUUAUGUCAUGGGGCGGCACACAGCAGCAAAUGGAGUCCUGUUCUCUCUCAUUCUCUGGAGGCAGAGAAAAGAAACAACUCAUGACCUUCACUUUUAAAUAAAGUACAUUUGUAAAGCAAGCCCCAAAGAAUUGUGAUUGUUGUUGAAUUUCCAUUUCUUCACUUGGAUAAUUGCUUAAGUGCCCACAUUAAACAAAUGAGAGGAAAUUAAGUCACUGUAGAGGAGAGACAGGAAACUACUUUCUAUGCCAAUAGAAGAAACUCAUUAAGAAGCAAAAGUACUAUAUUAUAAUGGCUAGUAGUCAAAUAAGAUGGAAGUCAGCAAUAAGAUUCACAUGCUGUAACGCACUUUCACCAGUCACAUCCUAAGAAUACAGUGUUACAGAGCUUCUGUUUGAGCCCUUACGUAGUAAGUUCAGUAAUAAAGUCCAAAGGGAAAAAUAUGAAAUUAUUUUAGAAUAAAGAUAACUAUUGCUAUUUAUAUUAUUUUAGGGAACAACUAAAAUUCUGUAUUAACACUACCUACAAAUAGAAUUAAAUGGAAGCAGUUAACUUGAAUGGUUCACAUUUAAAUAUUGUCAGUUACUCAUCACUGUCUUAAGAAUAAUUCUACCAAGAUUCUAACUUAAUAUCCACACUAAAGGCAAUAUGCUUAAAUGGAAAAAUUCAGAAUUCCUUUAGCAGGUAGAUAAAAGCGGCUCACUAUGGUUCUGGAUCUUCCGAAGCAGCCACCUAGGAAAGGGGAUUGCCCUGGGCUGUGUGGACAGCAGGUGGGACUGAGGCUUCUGUGGUCAGUGGAGGGUGUGCUGGGCCAGCAGAAGCCCUUGGAGGACAGAGUCCCUAGCAAGUGACACCUCCCUUUCCAGGAUGGGGACAGGAUGGGUACUCUUCUCUCAAGAUUGGUCCUCAAAUUGCCUUGCUAACAUCUGACCCUGAAGGAGGACAGAGCCCCAGCCAAGCACGCAGGGUGUGUGUGUUGGGGCACUUGUUUAGGCUGCCUGACAAUCGGCAGGAUUGGCGCGGCCAGUGGACGGCCCUUUCCCGAAACAGGCUCAGCCUGUGGGGGCAUGAGUACACCCAGGUGCCACACCCCACGUCCCUGUUACCAGAUGCUCCUCCGAACCUGCUGUGGAGAAGAUUCUUUGGUAGGGCUCUUGAGCCUCUGCUGCCUGCUUCCUUUACAACCAAUUAUUCUCAAAAUGUGUAGCCUUUAAUUCCUCGGUAAUUUUUGUGUUUCUGUCAUGACGAACUGGCAGCCUCAUGGGCCGCUUCAAGGCCAGCUAAUGUUUCUGCGACAGUUGUGGUCUUUGGCAGUGUCCAGCUUUUCCUGUGCAUGGCUGUUCUGAAACAGCCUGUGUCUCCUGUCUCUCCACAGGAAACUCAUGUUGGUGGACUGUCCUUCAGAGAGUCAUUCUUACCACAACACAGUUCUGCCAGAACUUGGGCAUUUGGCUUUCUACCAUUGUUGUUUCUGACCUCAGUGAAAUGUUUUCAGGUCAUUAAUAUUAUCUGGAAGGACAUUGCUGACUUUCUUACCACUUCAGCAUAUAUUUAGUUUCUUUUCUCUUCAAGAGUUUUGAAAUUAAGAGGGUAACUCAGCCAUUUCAGUUUCUUCAGAAUCCUUUUUAUUUAACCAAGGGACUUCCAUUUUUUAACACAGCUGCAGCGUCCAGCUCCAUGUUCCUGCUGACCACAUCUUCGCCCAUGGUCAGUCUUCUUGGGCCAGGAGCUGGCUGACCUUGGGUGGCUUGGUCUGUCACUGGCAGCAGAGCUGACCUUGGGCUCAGUGGCACCUCUGGCCACACAGUAGCUGACCCCCGUGCUGUCCCGUCCCAUCCAGUGCUGUGUUAUAUUCCAUACAUGCAUCCACUCUUCUGCCCUACAGCUUCUUUUGGAAGUGACUUUAUGUUUUUAGCUUCCUUAGACUACAAUUUUGGUUGAGUCUUAAGUUCUCUUUUCUGAUGUAUUUUGGGGGCUGAUUUAGUUGCUUCUAUUGACAUAGCAGAUACAUUUGAAGCCAUCUCCCCACGAUGAAGCAGUUUCUUUUGCGUGUGCAAAGAUGCCAACAGAUUCUGAGCUUUCCCAAUCCCGUGAGGUUUUGC